RNAcentral lists this ribosomal RNA (441 nucleotides) under uncultured bacterium. Its description in RNAcentral is "bacterial SSU rRNA". It matches the Rfam family "Bacterial small subunit ribosomal RNA", at positions 338 to 795 of the family's 1533-position model. The record is from RNAcentral.
CCUACGGGUGGCAGCAGUGGGGAAUAUUGCACAAUGGGGGAAACCCUGAUGCAGCAACGCCGCGUGAGCGAUGAAGGCCUUCGGGUCGUAAACUUUUGUCUUUAGGGAAGAAUGAUGACGGUACCUAAGGAGGAAGCCACGGCUAACUACGUGCCAGCAGCCGCGGUAAUACGUAGGCGGCGAGCGUUGUCCGGAAUUACUGGGUGUAAAGGGUGCGUAGGCGGGUAUGCAAGUCAGAUGUGAAAUACCGGGGCUCAACUCCGGGGCUGCAUUUGAAACUGUAUAUCUUGAGUGCAGGAGAGGAAAGCGGAAUUCCUAGUGUAGCGGUGAAAUGCGUAGAGAUUAGGAGGAACACCAGUGGCGAAGGCGGCUUUCUGGACUGUAACUGACGCUGAGGCACGAAAGCGUGGGGAGCGAACAGGAUUAGAUACCCCAGUAGUC